AUUAUAUCAGGCAACCCAUUUAUUUCCUUUAUUUAUAUCACAGAACCAUUUUAUUUCCUUUACACAUCUCAUACAGCCGGUUCGAGAGAGAAAUAAAAGAAAAAGAUGGAGAAGCACAGAGGUGAAGAGUUUAAUGUGUUGCCUUUCAAACCCUAGAUUUCUAAAGACUCUGAUCUUCUGUUAUCUUUGCUAGCCGUUACAUAACCCAUAAUCGUCCAACAAGUAGGCAUCAGUGUAAUAUUUUUUCAGAAGCACGCAUCGCUGGUGAAGAUGGCAGAUUCUGAAUUGCAUGACAUUAUUGUGCACUACAAGUCCACUGUGAAAGUAAUUUAUAAUAUUGAUCCUGAUAGGUACCAUUUUAUUGAUUUGAUUGAUGAUGUUUUACAAGUGUCUUUAGAAAAUUUACCUGCACAAUUAGGAGUCCAAUUAUCAUGCAUUGUGAUUUGCCUGGGAGUAAUGAGAAAAUGGUAGUGCAGAGUGAUGCUGAUAUGUUACAAAUGUUUAGCUUGCAUACUAAUCCUUAUAAAAAAUUUGUUCAUGUUCAUGUUGAGUUAGAAACUGUUGAAAAUUUAAACAUGGUAUAUGAGAAGAAUGGUGCUAUGAGGGAUGGUGAAAGGGAUGGUUGUCCAAGGGGUGCUCAUGUAAGUGGUGGUGAGAGAGAUGGUGGUGAGAGGGGUGGUAGGGUAAGGGAUGGUGGUGAGAGGGGUGGUAGGGUAAGGGAUGGUGAUGAGGAAGAUGAGGAUGAUAGAGAUUAUAUAUUUGGUUUCAGUUUAGAAGAUGAGGAAUGGGAAGAUGAAAAUGAAGGGUAUUCUAGUAAUAGUGGACUAGUAGAUGAAGGUACUAUGGGGGAAGUUCAAAUAAGUAGUGAUGAUGGUUUGUCAAAUUAUGGGUCAGGGGAUGAAUGUGGAUCAGAAUCAAGUAUUGAAAUAUUGGGUGAUACUGAUAAAAAAGAUAGGGCUAAGGGUAAAGCAUUUGAUCAAUGUUUGUUUGGGAUAGAAUUUCAUAGAGUUCUAGGACAAAAGAUAGAGCUAGUAAAAGGUCACCUAUUUGACAAUAUUAAAAAAUUUAGGGAAGUGUUGAGGGAUUAUGCAAUUCAAGAGUGUUUUAAAAUGGUUAGGAAAAAAAUUGAAAAAGCUAGAAUAAGAUGUCAUUGUGCUGCUACAAGUUGCCCAUGGAUGAUACAUGCAUCACCUCUCUUUGAUAAAAUCACCUAUCAGAUUAAAACAAUAAACAAAGAGCAUACUUGUGUGAAGGAGAGCACUUUUAGGGAAGCAACAUCAACAUGGAUUGCUAUGAAGUUUGCAGAUAGGAUAAGAGAGAAUCCGGAGAUUAAAAUAGCAUCUUUGGGAGCUGCAGUGAAGACACAAUAUGGAAUUGAACCUAGUAGAAUGCAGUUGUAUAGGGCAAAGAGGAAGGCACUAGAGGAAAUUGGGGGUAAUCAUGCUGAAGCUUACACAUUACUUCCAGCUUAUGCAAAUGAAAUUGAUAAAACAAAUCCAGGAAGCUUGGCUAAAAUUAAGAGGUUUAGGGCAAAUUUGUAUAUGAACCCAGUCUUUAGCAGAAUUUUCAUCUGUUUUGAGGCACUGGCCACUGGUUUGAAGAAAGGAUGUAGACCAUUUAUUGGUCUAGAUGGCUGCCAUUUGAAAGGACCCUAUGGUGGUGUUCUACUUACAGCCACUGCACUAGAUGGCAACAAUGGCCUUUUUCCCAGUAGCCUAUGGUGUUGUGGAAAGUGAAGGAAGGGAAAGUUGGGGUUUUUUUCUAACACAUCUGCAGACUAUGAUUGGCAAAGAUUUUGAGGACAACCCAUGGACUUUCAUGUCUGACCAACAAAAGGAAUUUUUAUAUUGAAUGUUUUUAAUUUUUAUUUUAUGUCUUUGGUAAAUUUAAUUAUUGACACUGUUUUUACUAUUUUAUAUAGGGACUGGAUUCUGCAAUUUCUUAUAUCUUUCCUAAGGCCCACCAUAGAUAUUGCUGUAGACAUUUAUUUAAUAACUUUAAAAAGAAGUACCCUGGUUUGUUGUUAAGGAAGUACUUUUGGAGAGCUACAAGAGCUUACAACCAAGCUGACUUUGAUAUUGCCAUGGGGCAUUUGAGGAAUCUUACAGAAGAAGGGUAUAAUAAUUUGAUGGAAUUGCCUGUAUCAUCAUGGUCUAGGCAUGGGUUUGAUGAAAAUGUGAAAAAUGAUCAUGUCACAAACAAUUUAAGUGAAUCAUUUAACAAUUGGGUUGGUGCACAAAGAAAUAAUACAAUUCUGAACAUGUUAGAAUGGAUUAGGAUGCAAUUGAUGGGUAGGAUUCAAAAGAGGUAUGAGGUGGCAUGCAGUUAGCAAACAGUGGUGACUCCUAACAUUAGGAAGAGGUUGAACCAACUCAUAGAGGAAUCUAGACAAUGUAGUGUCAUCUUUGCUGGAGCGGAUGAAUAUGAAAUAAUGAAUGAAACUGGUAGAACUGUGGUAGACCUUGGUGCUAGGACUUAUGUAUGUAGGGCAUGGCAAAUUUCUGGCCUCCCCUACAAGCAUGCAGCUGCUGCAAUGGCUUACAAGAGAAUGAAUAUUGAGCUAUUUUAUGAUGAAAAAUUUAGUAAGCAUGCUUAUUUGGAAGCUCAUGGGGGAAUGAUACAUCCCAUAGUUGACUCAAAACUAUGGCCACCUGCUCAUGGUGAUCCACUUGAUCCUCCUCCACCUUAUAGAAGGCUUGGUAGGCCAAAGAAAAAUAAAAGAAGAGAUGCAGAUGAACCUGCAACAGGGACUAGUCAAGUGAGAAGGUCAAUGACCAUAAGAUGCAUGAUUUGCAAGGCUUUUGGACAUAACAAAAGAACAUGUCCAAAAAAUGCAAAUAAGGUCCAGAAGGGAAGUUCUUCAAAAGCUACAAAUGCAAGUGGUCCAGAGGAAAGUUCAAGCACAUCUCAGAGAGUUAGGAAGGGGGGUUUAUCACAGCCCUUGGGUGCAAGCAGUUCUCAACCCCAACUUGGUAGAGGCACAACUCAAAUGGCGGUUAGAGGUGGGAGGGGUGGUAUAAGCAAUUCUCAACCCCCAGGUGCUACAUGGAGUUUUGGUGCAAGCAGUUCUCAGCCCCAACUUGGUAGAGGGACAACUCAAAUGGUAAUUUUUUUUAUUUUUAUUUUUUCAUUUACAGAUUUACUUUAUUGGCCAUAUAGCUAUUUGAAAUUGUUUUGUUUGUUUGACUUAGGCAGUUAGAGGUGGGAGGGGUGCGUCUAUGUCUCAACCCCAACUUGGUAGUGGUACCUCUUCUGACAUGGCAGUGUGGUAACUGUCAUACUGUUUCAAUCCUUCUGGCCUCCCCUGAAGAAUGUUUUUUGUGUUCUUAUUUGGAGCAUAUGUGGAUAACUACCUAUCACUUUUGAUGUUACUAUUUUGUUUUGAUGGCAUGUGGACAAAUGUUUGCUCAUAGUUAGAGUUGCAUUUGGAGCAUAUGUGGAUAACCUGUCACUUUUGGGAAACUUUGCUUGCUACUUGUUGACAAUUUUUGGGAUAUUGUUGGAUAGGUUCUUGGACAAGAUAUAAUUACAUACUUAUACUCAUGGGUCUUGGGUAUACUUUUGGUUGUUUUGUGUAUGUAAUGAAGUAGAGACAGUUGGAUUGAACUAUAUAUAAGAUUUUGGUUAUUUUUUGCA
RNA transcript from Cornus florida, 3636 nucleotides. RefSeq lists it as uncharacterized. The transcript has 5 exons. The record is from RefSeq and is a predicted model, not a curated record. NCBI's taxonomy places the organism in Eukaryota, Viridiplantae, Streptophyta, Magnoliopsida, Cornales, Cornaceae.